RNAcentral lists this ribosomal RNA (258 nucleotides) under uncultured bacterium. Its description in RNAcentral is "partial 16S ribosomal RNA". It matches the Rfam family "Bacterial small subunit ribosomal RNA", at positions 524 to 776 of the family's 1533-position model. The record is from RNAcentral.
UACGUAGGGCGCAAGCGUUAUCCGGAAUUAUUGGGCGUAAAGAGCUCGUAGGCGGUUUUGUCGCGUCUGCUGUGAAAACGCGAGGCUCAACCUCGCGCCUGCAGUGGGUACGGGCAGACUAGAGUGCGGUAGGGGGAGAUUGGAAUUCCUGGUGUAGCGGUGAAAUGCGCAGAUAUCAGGAGGAACACCGGUGGCGAAGGCGGAUCUCUGGGCCAUUUACUGACGCUGAGGAGCGAAAAGCGUGGGGGAGCGAACAGG